GAUGAACGCUGGCGGCGUGCCUAAUACAUGCAAGUCGAGCGAACAGACGAGGAGCUUGCUCCUCUGACGUUAGCGGCGGACGGGUGAGUAACACGUGGAUAACCUACCUAUAAGACUGGGAUAACUUCGGGAAACCGGAGCUAAUACCGGAUAAUAUAUUGAACCGCAUGGUUCAAUAGUGAAAGACGGUUUUGCUGUCACUUAUAGACGGAUCCGCGCCGCAUUAGCUAGUUGGUAAGGUAACGGCUUACCAAGGCAACGAUGCGUAGCCGACCUGAGAGGGUGAUCGGCCACACUGGAACUGAGACACGGUCCAGACUCCUACGGGAGGCAGCAGUAGGGAAUCUUCCGCAAUGGGCGAAAGCCUGACGGAGCAACGCCGCGUGAGUGAUGAAGGUCUUCGGAUCGUAAAGCUCUGUUAUUAGGGAAGAACAAAUGUGUAAGUAACUAUGGCCGUCUUGACGGUACCUAAUCAGAAAGCCACGGCUAACUACGUG
RNAcentral lists this ribosomal RNA (497 nucleotides) under uncultured bacterium. Its description in RNAcentral is "partial 16S ribosomal RNA". It matches the Rfam family "Bacterial small subunit ribosomal RNA", at positions 28 to 507 of the family's 1533-position model. The record is from RNAcentral.